UGUGGGAGCUGGCUUGCCUGCGAUAGCGGUGGGUCAGUUAAUGCAUUUGCCUACUGAUACACCGCUAUCGCAGGCAAGCCAGCUCCCACA
Molecule: unclassified non-coding RNA, 90 nt
Filed under: Pseudomonas gessardii
Lineage: Bacteria; Pseudomonadati; Pseudomonadota; Gammaproteobacteria; Pseudomonadales; Pseudomonadaceae
Source: RNAcentral